UACGUAGGUGGCGAGCGUUAUCCGGAUUUACUGGGCGUAAAGGGAGCGUAGGCGGAUGAUUAAGUGGGAUGUGAAAUACCCGGGCUCAACUUGGGUGCUGCAUUCCAAACUGGUUAUCUAGAGUGCAAGAGAGGAGAGUGGAAUUCCUAGUGUAGCGGUGAAAUGCGUAGAGAUUAGGAAGAACACCAGUGGCGAAGGCGACUCUCUGGACUGUAACUGACGCUGAGGCUCGAAAGCGUGGGGAGCAAACAGGAUUAGAUACCCCGGUAGU
RNAcentral lists this ribosomal RNA (271 nucleotides) under uncultured bacterium. RNAcentral's name for it is "partial 16S ribosomal RNA". It matches the Rfam family "Bacterial small subunit ribosomal RNA", at positions 524 to 794 of the family's 1533-position model. The record is from RNAcentral.